UCAUAUUAAUUCGUCAAACUUCAUUAUUUCACUUUGAAGAAUUCAAGUAUGAAAGUAUUACAACACAAAUAGUACAUAUGCUAAAAGAACUUAAUUUUAGCUUCAAAAGAAGUUAAUUCAAGUGGAUCGAACUCCAUCCAUGCUAUAAGAAGAGUAAGAGUAAUCGCAACGGAUGGAGAUCGAUCCACCUUUUUUCUGUGUGUAUAUAGCUAGCCUAAAGCCAAGAUAUGAUGGAGAGAAAAAAACAUCAGAAACACCAAAACAAUGAUACAAAGAAAGAAGUACAAAAGUUGUCGAAAAUUAUUAUAUUCAAUUCUGUUGUGGUGCCGACUGCCAUCGCCGCCCUUUCUGCGUAGACGUCUUUGUGGUUUCAGGGCCUUGUCUAUGCUUUUGUCCCUCUGCAUCCUAAAUUUCCUUUUUCCCCACCAAAAAAUAGAACGUUAAAACCUAUAUAUAUAACAACGAUGGUUAAUUUUGCGGGUAGUUUCGGGGUGGCUUACCAGGGAGUAUCAGAGCAAUUUCGCGGACAUUGACCAAGAACUAAGCAUUUUUGAGCUUUUAGUUUGAUACAUAGGGAGCUUGGAUUUUGGCUCUAAGUUGGUCUGACUUCUGGGAGUUUACUUUACGCAGAGGUGGUGGGGAGAGGCAGAC
RNAcentral lists this long non-coding RNA (651 nucleotides) under Jatropha curcas. Its description in RNAcentral is "long non-coding RNA (JCUR_LNC001865)". The record is from RNAcentral. Lineage: Eukaryota; Viridiplantae; Streptophyta; Magnoliopsida; Malpighiales; Euphorbiaceae.